UCAAGCUAAAAGUUAAAAUAGCAUAAUGGAAGCAAAAAGUAAAAGUAGCUUAUAUACAAAAUGUGAAAAUAAUGUGAGUAACUGAAUAAUUACAAUGUACGAGGAAAACACUGCAUAACUACAGUUAUUUUCUGAAUUAGCUGAACAUUUUAAUUUGUAGAUUGUUAAAAUCAUACAAAGUGUGCAGAGGAAGUUGGUUGCAAAACAACAAAACAAAACAGGAAAACAAUAGUGUGAAUGCUGAAUCAGCUAUCAAUAAAAAGAAUGACAAAAAACAGGAAGCUUUUAUAUACAGUAAGCCUAUUCUGCAGUUUACCUCAACACUGUAGGCACAUUUUGCAUUCACAUUUCUUAUUGUCCAUAAAAAUCAUAUCAUGUGUCAGACACUGAAUAUUUAUUCAUGUAUCAUACAUUUAACAUUCAUCACAGCAGAGCAUGAUCAUAAUUCAUGGUUGCCAGAUUGAAUCCCAACCAGGGACCUAUCCGAGUUUUCAUAUUCUCUCUGUGCAUGCAUGGGUUUUCUCCAGGCAAUCCAGUUUCCUACCAAAACAUGAUUGUUAGGCUGACUGGUAGCUCUACGUUGUUCUUAGGUGAGAGUGAAUGGUUGUUUGUCUUGUUUGUCUCUAUGUGGCCCUAUGAUGGACUGGUCCAAGGUUUACACCACCCCUCGCGCAGGGACUGGGCACCGAUGACCCUGAAAAGAAGAAGCAGCCAGCACGGCCUCAGUGAACCUGAUGCCUGAGAGUAAGGAAGUGCAGAGCUUCAUUUUCCAUCAUUGGUUCCCCAGAGGCUUCGAGAGGAUCUGAUCCACAGAACAGCUGUAGGGAAGGAGAACAAAUGAAGCCUUACAAACUCACACAAACACAUUCAUACAAAAAUCAAUACAGACUGACAAGAAUGAGACAAUCAAUGUCAUUUACAUGCAAUCAAUGUGUAGAAGUGUGGGAAAAUGUGUCUGAAUGGCUCUAAAUAUCUGCUGCAUCUGUCCUCACAGUUUAACUCAAUUCAGUGUGAUGGUGUGAGUGAUAGUGGAGGUAUGCUGGGGGAAAAGAAACACACAGCUCCAUAAAUCUGUUAGUUGCUUUGGAUUAAAAAUAUAUCUUUAUCCUAAAAAUUGAAACACCAAAAGUAAAUUAAAAAAGGAAAGAAAAAUGUCUUGAGGUCUAUUAAACGUUUGUGAAAAGCAUGAAUCUAUGAAAUAAAAUAUAUAAAUCAGU
Molecule: long non-coding RNA, 1217 nt
Organism: Austrofundulus limnaeus
Lineage: Eukaryota; Metazoa; Chordata; Actinopteri; Cyprinodontiformes; Rivulidae
Exons: 2
Source: RefSeq, a predicted model, not a curated record